This is a long non-coding RNA of Sapajus apella (tufted capuchin), 136 nucleotides long. RefSeq lists it as uncharacterized. NCBI's taxonomy places the organism in Eukaryota, Metazoa, Chordata, Mammalia, Primates, Cebidae. The record is from RefSeq and is a predicted model, not a curated record. The transcript is spliced from 3 exons.
UCCACCCGCCUCGGCCUCCCAAAGCAGUUCUUGUCUUAAUGGAACUUAAAAUAUAGUACAGAGCAGGAAACUUGGAGCCUGGCAGAUACAAACAUGAAUCCCUCACCAGUCACUCCUAGCUCUGUGAAUGUAUGUA